UGCUACUGUAGAUGCCAACAGACUACCAGCAAACACAAUGUUUGCAGGACUUCUACAACUAGGAUAAAGUGACAUAGUCCAGGACCUGAGGUCAACAGUUUAGCGGCGCUACAACACGCAGCAGGUCCCGUUUGAUAAGAAACACUUCUGUUACAGACACUUGGCUUACUUUGUUAAAGCGGUUUACCUGUCCAGCAGAAAGGUUACAGGGUCACCAAGAUCCCCAAGCGUCCCCCUAUCGUUUAUGUUGACCCAGCUUUUAGCUCUUUUUAAGCGCCCGUUAUUCCGCCAGAGUCUCCAGUAUUUACUUCGUUUUUUUGUUUGUGUUGGCAGUCGUGGCCAAAGGAGGAUUCAGACAAUUUUCCGAACUUUCUGGUUGGUUUCUACUGUCCGAUAUUGUAGCACGCUAACUUUGUAUGGGCUCGUGAAUGUUAUUCAAGGAUGUGGAGUGUGCCUCACAUCACGAGGGAGCAAUGUCCACCUCACAACCAAUCAGGUUGGGGGAGGCAGAGAACACCUUUGUUUACAGUCAGAAAGAGCGGGCCGCUGUUAAAUGUUGACUACACAGUCAUAAGAAAACACAGAGAUAUCAUUAUAUGAUGUCAUCAAUAACUAAUAACUAUUGACUGAUAUUUAAAGUUUUUUUGUAAAUACACCACAAAAAAAGAUGCUUCUUUAAGGGAUUCCUGCCUGCCCCACCUUCAAUCACAGUAUGUGCACAUCCCUGAUGUACUUAGACACGUCGAUUCUUCUUUUUCUUUUUAUCACCGGGUCAUCCUCACUUGAGGCUGUAGUUGCCCCUGUUUCCCCUGCUUCUCUUUCCCCCCACUCUUCUCCCAUAGUGAAUAUGCGCCACAGACCAUAUUUUCUAGCGAAUAUGCUAAUUCUAUUUGCGUUGCACCAGGUGUGUAAAGGAAAAGGCGCAAGCCUAAUAUUUCGCUUUUUCAAGUCCCUUCGGUAAUUCGCCGGUGUGUAAUGACCACUGACUCUGCGACAGAAAAUGGGGGAGUUCUGCACAAACCAGGAGCUCAAAUUGUUUCCCGAGAAAUUACGACAGUACUUCGGACAAUGUCAAGACCUGCUCCAUCAGCUGACUCCAAGUUUGCAGAAGGAUUGAACAAAUUACAGAGAGCCGAUUGAUCCAGAGCAACGGCUUGCAUUUUGAUUGGCCAGAGGUCUAGAAGUUCGCCUGCGAAUGUUGGCAAAAUUCACUACAGGGCCAAAAAAGUACAGUUGCUUUUUCACUCUGCGGAAGUUUGUAGCCAGUGUGGAAGGUUGCGUUGACUUCAUGAGGUUUUAAGAAAAACCUCACGGAGUGUAACAACCUUAAUGAUGCUAAUCUGUGAAAGAUUUUAACCUUAAUAUAUCAAAUAUCAGGAAAAACAUGAAACUGCAUCAUUUAGCAGCUUUCUGUAAAACCCAAUCGCUUUGUAAGGGCCGACAACUUGUCUGGGGUUAACUCUGAGACUUUCUGAGACUCUGACCCCUGAACUAAAGGAAACCUGUGAUGAUUUAUGAAUUAAUUUUGGUAAAAUAGUCAUAGUUUUGUUGUUAGCUGACCAUGCUGAAUAGAAUCCAAUAGAUCAGCUCUUUUACGAAGUAGUGGGUGCUGGGAAUAAGAUUUGUUAUGGAGGCUGUUGUGACUGUAAAUGACAUACUUUAUUAUUUGUGUCCUGCUAACUUAGACCUCUCCAGAUUCAGAUAAAUAUUCGAGUUUAGAUUGUAAGUAAACGACCAUCAAACCACCGUCGUCUGGACAAACUGGUGAGAAAAGCUGGCUCUGGGGUUGGAGGAUGUGGUGGAGAGAUGCUCACUGAGGUUAUUCUGAAGAACAUGGAUCAUCUACUUCAUGACACCAUGAUAGACCAAUGGUGGUGGACGGUUCCUCUCACUUACCCAAAGCCAUUAGACUGUUUAAUUCUUCUGUAAAUAGUAAAAAAGAAAGAAAGAAAGAAGAACUUGAUUGAUCCCUGAUAGGAAAUUCAUUCAUUCUAGUAUUCGAGACUCCAGAUAAAUGAAUCUCUGGAUCACUUAAGUUUUAAAGUGUGUGUUGCCACUCAGGUCAAAAAUUGCAGCUGUUUUCUGAGACAUCACAAAGGUAUGAAAAAUUUCCAUGAGAAUAGUUUUUUUUUAUUCUCCAAGGGAAAGGCCGACCUGAAUACUUGAAUAUAUUCUAUAUAUUUGUCCAAAUUUUCAGAUUUCCCUCUAAAAUGCUCCUUUCACAAAGCAGACACAUUGAUAUUCUGAUGAAAACUGUACCUAUUCUUGAAGCCAUGACUCAGCUGAACCCCAACAAACAGAAAGGUUAUAAAUAUUUAUUUAUUAUUCAGUGUGACACCUCCUAUCUCUGGGUAAAGGUACAUAAAUCUGCUUGUGGAGGCUCUUAAACGAUAAAUCAGUUUGUCAAUCUUAACUUAAAAUCACCAAAGAUGUUUAAUUAUCAUAAUCUUCCGCUGAAAUUUGACUCAUCCUUGAUUUUGUUUCAAGGAAAAUUAGAUGCCGGUGAAGAGUCUCAAUAGCUUAUGCUUUCAAACUUCAAAACUUCAUCAAAAAGUCCAAAAAUAUUGGAAAAAAAGGUCCGUAAUAAUUCUGUCGACCAAGUGAAGUAGAUAUAAAACAAGUGCUUUGACAGUUGACAUAAGAAAACAAAACCCUGAGAGGAAACAAACGACAGAAGAACCCAGAAGACAGGUGAAGAAACUAAAGCGUGUGAAAACAAGACAUUUAAAACCUCAGAGUAACCUGAUCGAACUCUAAACAAAGAGAAGUGUCUGUAUACCAUAGAGAUAAAGUAAACAGAGUGAGCACAGCAGCUAAUGAAAACAAACUAAAUAAAGAGUUCAGUAAAGGACUCUGUUUACAGUGUGCUAAUAGAAAUAUUAGAUGUCCAAGAGGUUUUCUGUUUUCCAGACUGUGAAAAUUGUGGAUAAAAUUAAAAAGUUUCAACCUCAAACUUUAUGUUGAAUGUUUUUAUAGUCCGGCCUCUUCUCAGUUUGAUGAAUGUGUUAACAAUAGCAGGAUUAUUCAAGAGUCCAUACAUGUAAACAGACUAAUACAUAAACGUGUUCAUGUCUGGUCACUAAUAUACGAGGUGAGUUCGGUUCAGAUCGGAGUCUGAAUGUCUGAGUUAAACACCCUGAGUUUAGGGGCUCACUACGACCACGCCCUUUGACUUGAACUCAAACCUUUGAUAAUCUUCUCUGUUAAAAAUGCAAAACUUAUGAACAGUUUACAAAUAGAACUUAAAGACCCACUCCAGUGGAAAUCAUGUUGUUCUUCUUGUCUACAUGUUCAUUUUUCUGAUGCUUCAGGACAUAUCAUGAGAAAACUAAAUGUGAAAUCGCAUUUCUGGGUAUUUCUGCAUUCAAAUAUUUGUGAAUCUCUAACAGACCCAAACGGUAGUAUCAGACACAGUGAGAUUUCCUACGUAGCAAAUCCAAGCUCUGCCCCCAGAGACUCGGAGAAGUAGAGAGGACAACCGCGGAAUGAGCGUGUGCGUUAGUGAAUUGCAAUUCUUGUAAGAAAGCAAAUUAUGAUAUUAGAUUUCAUCAUGUCCCCAAACACAUCAGUGUCUGAGAGCUGAAUAGCUCCUAUGUUACCUGCUACUUCUACUACACCGGCAAUGUGACCCCCAAUUUUUACUGCAUCCAGAACGGCUCUGAUUCGGAACGGCAAUGGUUUUCGCUGUCCACCAAUUCCUACAGGAUCCGUUUGUGAGUCGAAUUUCGUGGUGGAUUACGGACAGCAGGAAUCACAAGAACUCACAAGAACCUGCGGAUUCACAUUCAAUUGCGCGAUAUUGAGUUGUCCCUAUAAAGACAGCCACAUAGACAUAUAAGCAGUAGAUUGUGUCCUUGGGGGUGUCCUCCAAAAGGAGGACAUGUCCGAAUAAAAGAAGACGUACGAUCACCUUUACUCUCCUCACAGUUUUAAUCAGCUGGGUAGACUUUGUCUGAUGUUUGGAUAAUAAUCCUGCCUGAGCUCUUGCUUCUCUUUGUCGACUCGCAAAUACGAACGAGGAGAAAAUAUUUCUGGGUGUUUUCAGAUAAGACUCAGAUGAUGACAUUCUCAGAAGAACAGACUGACAGACUAAAAUAUCUCACUUGUUUUGUGGGGAUAACUUUCCUCCAUCUCUUUAAUCAAGUAAAAGUAGGACUCAGGAUCCACCAGGUUUCCUAACAAGGAGAAUUUAUCCUGGUUUUCACCCACAGAUGGAGUCACCUAAAGUACAGAUUCUUUUAGAAACUCUGGAUGCUUUUAGAAACUCCAGUCUGAGGAAUAAGAAUGAUGUAUUGAAAGUUUUUUGCAGGUAAUUAUUAAUAAACAGCAGGUUGACUCACCUACUUGCAAAAGUUUGAGAGAAAUAGAAUCAAAGUUUCUCCUAAAGGUGGAUUUUGUAUAAAUAUAAUGUUGAACCAGAAAAUUUUAAUUGUUUAAUUUGAUGCCAGCAACAAAACUGAGGAUGCGGCAUCUAUGAUUUCUGAUUCUUCAUUCGUUAGGUGAAAGGUCUCAAGUAAGUCCAGUUGUCCUUUCUAUGCAGUGAUUCCUACUCCAGAGUAGGGCUGAAACGAUGUCUCCAAUAUCUCGUGUACCUCAAUUACAAAUAAUGAUCAAGGAAUUUUCUCUGCCUUGAGUUCUCGUUUAUAAGCUCAAAUCGUCACUGUUUCGCACUGAUUCUUUUGAAGGUGACACAAUGCGCUUACAUCAUUAUGGUAGAAGGAGGAGUAAGAGCUGUUUUGGUUUUGCGGAGCAGGAAAAAUAAAUGAUGAGAGGGGCUUUUCUUGCAGUGUUGCCAGCCUAGCGACUUUAGCGACUUUUUAGACCCCCCUGGUGAAUUAUUUUCAAAAAGCACCUAGCUACAAAUCUAGCAACUUUUUCUGGAAUUUAGAGACUCUAACAUGAAAGCAGGUAUCAUUAUUACUCUUCUAAAACACAGACACAGACAGACACCCCGAAAAAGACUUCUCCUCCUGCUUCUAACCGGCUGGGGGAAGGUGGGGAGAAGGGGGGUAGUGAGUUCGACUGAGAAAUUAUGCAAAUUAGGCGAUGGCGUCAUGCAACUUCUAGCUAUUUUUACAACAGCCACUAGCGACUUUCCUCACUGAGAAGUUGGCAACACUGUUUUCUUGUGCAGAGCUCUAGUAGCUCAUUAGCACUUGGCCUCUGAGUCGUGGGUGGGGACAGCGCUGCUCAGCACACUUCUCUUCACGCUAGCUUGCAGCCUAACAUUGCUGGUGUCAUAGCAGAAUCAGGUAACAUUGGAGCUAUUCAGCUCUUGGACACACACGUGUCUUUGGGGGCAUGAUGAAAGUUAAUAUCAUAUUUAGCUUUCUUACGAGCAUUGCAAUCCGCUAACGCAUAUGCUUGUUCUGCGAUUGUCCUCUACUCUUCCGAGUCUGGCCUUCAUUGCGGGGCUAUAGGAAAUCUAACUUAAUGUGAGUCUGCCGUUUGGAUCCAAUUACUCGAGUAAUCGAUAGAAAAUUCGAUAGAAUACUUGAUUACUAAAAUAUUCGAUAGCUGCAGCUCUACUCCAGAGUCCUGUCUGUUUUUAAUGUCCUGAAGAUCUGGACUCAGCCUCUCUGAAUGUUUUUUUUAGACCUGGUCAUGUGACUCACCUUUUGGACAUUCACCUCAUUAGAUGUAGACGUUCCUUCAGAUGUUUUUAAGCAAUAAAACUCUUUCAAAUGUUUUUAAAGGUUUUAUCCUAACUUUUAGGUUAAUGGUUUGAUAAGCAACUUAUGGUCCAAUCAGAUACGCAAGGCUUCUAUUUUUGCCGGAUGCCGCAGCAUCGAUUCAGUGCGGCGCAGAGGUGAGAGGCAAAUCUCACCUCUCUGUGUGUCGCUGUCGGCAGAAACAACACAACAGCGAGCAGCACGCCGCUAAACAAGUGCAAGUCAUUGUUCUUUAAUAUCGCGGAAAAGUGGAGAGAUUAAAAAUAAAUAAAUAAAUAAACAUGUCAGCUGUAGCAGGAAUUCUGAUACUUUUAAAGAUAUCAAAUAUUGUAUUUCUUUAAAUCAACUGAAAUUAAAUCCUUCUCACAGGAACGUUAAUACACAUGUAUUAAUGUAAAGGCACUAUAAUGAUCUGUUUUAUCUUAGCCUCAGUCAACCAACCGCUGCUCGGCAGGAAGUGAACGAUGCUACACCCCUCCCUCCUCUGCCUGCAUCAAAUCAAAUUAUAAGACUCCGCCUGCUCGCUAACUGGCUGGCUGGCUGUGUGUCGUUCGCCAAAGAGUCAAAGCCGGCAGUUCCACUCCUGACCGACAUGCCAGGCUCACGGCUGAGCUCAACUAAACUGAGAAAGGAACGAAUCAGGACUUGGAGUGAUUCCAUUCACGUCGUUCACUCAGCAGUUCUGUUCUUUUGAAAGAAACGUUCAUGAACGAAACAACACUACCGCUAGUCUCAUUCAAUGUCUCACUGUGAAACCUGUGAGAUCUUGUCCAGUCUCGCGAGAAAUAUCUGUAGCAUCGCAAGCAGUUCCCUUCCGCUUGAGGUGGUGGAUUGGAUCUGGUGGGCGCUGUAUGCUUGCGUUUUUAGGAGUAACAAAUGUAUGAGUAUUUCUUUGUGAAUUCAAACAGACAUCCAUGUUUGGUACAGUCAAGUUCCUCUAAUGAAACUGAAAUAAUAUUGACAUCUCUUUAUGAGCUACAAAGGCCAACAAGAUCAUCAUCAGCAGCAGCAGAAAGAUAGAUCCCAUCAUGCUCUUCUCUAACAUCUUGAAUGCUCGGUGUGUUUUUUUUUUGCAGACUCUCGUUCUCCAAACACAGGAAGAAGAACCUGUGGCUCAUUUUUCAUCCUCUUCACUUACCUUUAUCCUCAUUCAGGAUAGAGACAGAUGGGCUCAUAAAGCAGGAGCUGAGUGAGCGAUACCUGGGCCAGGUUGGACUCUAAACAGUCAGCAGAUAAAAUCAUUUUCACUGCUGAACCGUUGGCCUGCUUCAAACUGAGCAGCUGCAGCUCAGCGAGGUCUGGGUGACGGCUCAGAGCCCGGGAAGCCCUUUAGUGGUCAUAUGUGGAGCCCAGAACCAACAGCUGAUGGUGUACAGGACGGGGUUUGUUCCAUUUGAGAUAAUAAUCAUGCAUAAAUUAUGAAUAUAAUGUCCUGUUUGUGUGAUUAUUGUAUGUAAGAGUCAGGAAAUGGCAGAAAAACUGUGCUGCAGAUCCCUGCUGAACCAAAUCACUCUCAAAAAUCCUGUUUGCAAAGAUAAGGAGAAAAAUGCAUCAAGACAAGAUCCUCAUAAUUAAAACAGCAGCCCAUAUUUUCACUCAUCUGAUGCUUAUGUUGUGUAAUUUCACGGAUAAUUAACCCUCUUAGAUCAUCAUCGUCUGUUCAAUACAGGAGAAAAUGAGACACACAGACAGAUCCGACAAUCGUCCUUCUUUUCUCUCUGCCAACUUUCUUCAGUGUUUAUCCAUCAGGCCUGGCUCUCAUUUUUUCACUCCUGUGGUUUAAAAGAGUUCGUUCCAGAUGAUACUUGGCAGCCAUCUGUGCACAUGACUGUAAAAACCAGAACCCAAAGACAGUGAAUGAAAAAACCUCCUACUGGUUUAAACGCACUGUCAGAACGACGACAAACGUCUGAUGAUGUUAUUGAAUACAGCGUAAAAGUGAGUUAGCUUAGCUGCUACAGCUCCGACCAGUGUCGAUGAAUACAUGAUUAAUGAUGACAUAUUUUGAAGGUACAGUGUGUAGAAAUGGGAUAACUAUUUAAUAUCUAGAAUCUACAUCGACGAGCUCCGGUGCUCACCCCUCCAGUCAGUUAAAGGUGGGGUAGGCAGGAAUCUGUAAAAGAAGCAUCUUUUUUGUGUUGUAUAAACAAAAAAUCUUUUAAUAUCAGUCAAUAGUUAUUAGUUAUUGAUGACAUUUGGUAAUAUAACAAUAUUGCUGUGUUCUCUCAUGUCUGUGUAGUCGACAUUUUACAUUUUUGAGUGGUCUGCUCUAUCUGACUGUAGAUAAAGCCGUUCUCUACCUCCCUGACCUGAUUGGUUGUGAGGCAGAUGCUGCUUCCCCGUGUCGUUCAGGAGCCCAAACAAAGUUAGCGUGCUACAAUAUCGGACAGUAGAAUGACCAGAAAGUUCGGAAAAAUUGUCUGUGUCCUCCUUUAGCCACGACUGCAAACACAAGCAAGAAAACGAAGUAAAUACUGGAGACUCUGGAGGAAUAACGACGCUUAAAAAGGAGGUAGACCGGACAAGAGCUAAGAAGCCGGGUCAACAUAAAUGAUGGGGGACGCUUCGGGAUCUUGGUGACCCUGUAACCUUUCUGCUGGACAGGUAAACCGCUUUAACAAAGUAAGCCAAGUGUCUGUAACAGAAGUGUUUCUUGUCAAAUGGGACCUGCUGUAGCGUGUUGUAGCGCCGCUAAACUGUUGACCUCGGGUCCUGGACUAUGUCACUUUAUCCUAGUUGUAGAAGUCCUGAAAACAUUGUGUUUGCUGGUAGUCUGUUGGCAUCUACAGUAGCACCAAUGCUUUUUACUUUCACCUUGACUUGGCCCCAUUCGUAAUUAUCUAAAGUAUUUAUCUGCACGAUAUCUGAAUUUAAUUGGAACGAUAUGAGCGAGCAGGAGCGUCUGUUUGUGGGCGGGGCUUGCUAGAGCAGAGAGGGAGGGGAGAGGAGGAGCUGAGGGGAAAACUGGUUGGCAGGGGUAGAGUUUACAUUCAAGAUUUCUCUCAAAAACUGGAACUUCUUCAGAUCCUGACUACCCCACCUUUUAAAGGUACAGUGUGUAGAAAUGGGAUAAUUAUUUAAUAUCUAUCAUCUGCACUGACAAGCUCCUUUGCUUACCCCUCCACUCAGUGAAAUGAUGGUGGCCUUUGAGGACCAAAAGCUCCCGUGAUGAACAAUAACUAGGAUCCUUUAUUUGUCAAGUUUUUAAUAUUAAAAUGUCAAUUAAUCCAAAUCAUUUGGUGCACAACAACCGCUCUUCUUCUUCACACUAAAUACUAAAAGGUGCAUGCUAACUGUUUGUCCAUUCUGAGCUACCAUAGAAACGUGACGGUGCAAUAUAGCAGCCACGUAAAAAGGGACUAUGCUGAAAUAAACCCCAAUUUCCACCACAUCCAGAACGAAUACGAAAAGGUCGUAUCUGCUGAUUGUCGCUGAUCGUAAAAAUUCAAGUUAACGUGUCAAUUUCCACUGACUUCUUUCCGUUCCUCUGCAGAUUGCCGGACUCCACAGCUGAUCGCAGGAAUUCUAUUUUUUCUGGAUGCUGGAGCAUGCCGGAAAAAUUCAGCAUGGAUUAACCUGUGCUGGAAAGGAAGUCGGGCACAGACCCAAAAUAAAACAUCCGGCUUCUUUUCAAAAUAAAACACUCGUAGGAUCGUAUUUCACACCAUGCAAAUGGGCGGAAAUGAACAAGUGAAAGGUUUUUAGACAUCAUUUCACCCCGAUGACACCAUGGAUGAGGAGAUGCUGAUUCUAGAAGUCUAGAGGUAGAUUUCCUCCUCUGGAAGAACACAAUCUACUCCUUAUAUGUCUAUGUGUCAGUCUUUAUAGAGACAACUUGUUAUCGCGCGAUUGAAUGUGAAUCUGUGGGCUUAGUGAGUUCUUGGGAUUACCGCUGUCCGUAAUCUGCCACAAAAAUUCGCCUCACAAACGGAUCCGGUAGGAAUUGAUGGACGGCAAAAAUCGCUGCCAUUCCAGAUUGGAGCCGUUUCGGAUGCAGUGAAAAUUGGGAGUAAGGGUUACCAAAAACAACAUGACUUUCAUAUCCAUGUGAUUAUACCGUUGUCGUAGUGAUCAAGUCUGUUCUGCUAAUUAGUUUUACCUUUAAGACAGCAUAUAUGUGAGUUAAUACUGCUUCUGUCCUGCAAGUGGCACUAUUACUAUGUCAAAAAUUUAUAUGAAUCAGUGAGUCAGUGCCGUGUAUUUUCACAGGGUGGCGCUAUGACUGUAACAGAGUAAUGGGCACGUACGUAGAGGUGUUUAGGGGUGGACCUUAACCAUGAUUAUGAACUAUCAAAGUGAUUGACGUUUGUAUUGGAGUUGAAUUAACUUCCUGUUUCAUGUCUAAUGCUGGCAGGACAUGAUCAGGGCUUAAACUGAAGGGGGCGCUGUGAUUUCACCAGGCCUGACACGUCUUCAAAAUCUGACGAGUUUUGACGCAUGUUCAGACCUCCAAAUCUGAAUCCACUGAGCUGAAAUGGUCGCUCGCAUGUCACCUCUACUUUCCUCUCGUGUGACAAAUUAUGAAUAAAAACUCACAUGCGCUGCAAAAACAACAGAGGGAGUCUGUAAUACAUCAGGCUGUAAUAACUGCACAUUCAUCACACUAACACACCACAGCAGCUGCUGCGGUGAGCCGCCGUGAUAAGAGACGUUUAAACAGGAAGGUGACGUGUCCCCGCUUUGAUAAGAACACAAGAACACUUUGCCUCAAACACAUGGGGGAAUUUAUCAUGAAGGAGCCAGCAGAUUUCAGAAAACAUCCGAUUUGGUUCUAUCUCCCCAUAAAUGUGUUUGUAGGUGUCCCUAAACUGCAGAAUAUACAUUAAUAUUAAACAGAGAUUAUUAAAUUCUGAUUUUAUACUUUCUCCCUCGCUUGCUCGCUCACGACGUAGACACCGCUCAUUGUCUCCUUGUCAUUGCAUCUUCUCCUGGCUCUUUAUGAGACAGAGUUAAUGAAAGCAGGAUGAGUGGGCAUAAUAAUGAUUUAAGGUGUUAAUAUGCGCAAAGUGCUCAAUAAAAGUUUCCUGCAAAGUGGAAAAGUUGAAUUUGCAACCUGAAUACUGUCUGAGGAGAAAGUGUGUGUGUGUGUGUGUGUGUGUGUGUGUGUGUGUGUGUGUGUGUGUGUGUGUGUGUGUGUGUGUGUGUGUGUGUGUGUGUGUGUGUGUGUGUGUCACACAAACGAAGGGAACAGUUUAAGGUUAGAGAGGGAGAUAAAUAGAGUGCUAACAUGGUGACCUCCCUGAAUAAUGAACCCGUGAACAUAAAGUAUUCAGAGGGUUCAGAGGCAGCGGGACCCUGAGCUCGAACCCUGCACCUCAGCAUUAAUGAUUCAUCAGCAGGAACCCGGGGAUCAAAUAUGUGAUCCGUGUUUUAUAUUCAGCUCCUUUAAGUCUCUGCAGACGGAGCAUCCAUGGGAAAUAUUCUGUAACCGACUCCCUCCGAGUAUUUCAGCCCGAUUAAUUAUACGCCGCUAUAAUCUUAAUCAUCAGUUAAAGUACAGGAAUCAAGAUGUCAGGGUGACCCCUGAGGUCAGUCAGGGGCUGAUCACUGGACUUAAACUGGAUCAUGUAAAAUCUGGUCUUUUCUUUAUCAGGUUUACGGGGCCUGCAGAAAGAUCCAGAAAUGAUCAGACUCGAGUGGAUUCAAGUUUGACUGCGCCCCAAAAAUCUGCAUAUUUACAAGCAUUUUUCUGUUGCUGAUGUAACUGAUCGCCGCCCACGGUUCAGUCCGCAUGUGAACCACAAGUUGAGAUGAAGUUCAUAAUCAUCGUGUAAAAUCAGUAAUUCUGCAGAGCUGUUUAACCGAAGAUGCAAUCUGAUUCAUGAAGUACAUGCAAAGAGUUUAAUGCACUGCAAACUGCACUGAGCAACAGCUGUUUACACACAGUCAGAGUGGUGACAUGUUGUAUUAGUCUGACUGAAACUGGACUUAAAGGCAUAGUUGAUGAUUGUAAAGAUUGGCAGUUAUUAUGAACCUUGUUUUUAUGUUGAUCAUGGUCCUAUGGUGCGAUCUCCACAAAGUGAAGAGAAAAAAGAAUGGAAAAAAUCCGUUCACCCUAUCAGGUGCAGGGCUGCAAAAACAUUGACCAAUGGGAGCCAUUCAUCCCAGACAGCUCCUAUUGGUCAAUCUCCUGCUCUGCCUCUCCAACCAAUCACCUUGCUGUAUUUGACACACCCCUCUCCUGUAGUUCCGACUCGUCCCCUCCCACUCUCCCGGCAGCAAUAUUUUUUUUUUUUGUAGGAUGGUAGGGGAAGGUCCCUCCUUCGUCUCUGAUUGGCUAGAAGUGCUGGGCUCCGAUUGGUUAUUCCUAAUGGCUGUGAAACGUCAUCGUCUGUCUGGUUAGGAGAUUCAGAAUUGCGAUAAUGUUCUGUAAUGUUCUGUUCGAUGUACAGAGCCAACAGCCCGCGUCUGGCUUGAGCGUGUGAUGAUGUUUCCAGCUUUUCUAGCAAAUCAGAGGCGAAGAAGGCAGGACUUUCCCCUACCGUCCUACAAAAAAAAAAAAAAUUCUCCUCCCAGCCCUCAUCGGAGCUCUGAGUGGCUAAAAGUAGCGUAGCAGCUUAGCUACAGGAGCUGUGAUGGAGAGGGAUGAAAAAAAAAACCACUUCUGCUCUCCCCACUGCCAAAAGUGGCAAGAAAAUACAAGCCAACAGAAGAAAGGGUGGAGUCGGAGAGGAAAUGUGACCAAGUGAGGAAUCAAACUGAAAUAAACAUCGGGUCAUCCUUGGAGCGGUGAAGAAAGCUAUGCCAGGAUUUGGUCCUGAAAACAGACGCUGAGAAAGCAGAGUUUAUGUUGAACAGGUCAUUUUAUCAUGGCACGUUACAUAAAUAACUCUUUUUAGUCUCUGCAAUGUCAACACAGUAGCUGUCUAGACAGCUGCAGACGGCGCUCGCUAUAAGAGCUGGCGUUUACUGCCGCUAGUCACUAACAAUCCGACAUAGUGAAUCCUAUUUGAAGCUAGCGUAGGAUUUAUUAUCGUUAUAGAGUUAUCGUGGAGCACAGAGGGGAGAGGUUUGUGUGUGGGGGGAUGGGACGCUUCUUUUCAAAUCUGCCUCAACGGCUCAGUUUUUUUCAAUUGCUUCUCAGAUCGUCAACAAGGACUUUAAAAAAAUACAACAAUAUAUUGAAGACACCCAGAAAAGGUGCUUUUUGAUCUUCCACUUCAUAUUUCAUCCAUGUGUAGACACAGUUUAGUAAGGCCAGGAUCAGUAAGUAGUUGACACAAGAUACCAGGAUCAGGACUGGUGCACCUCUAUUUUUCAGAUGUUGAAGCCGAAGUUUGUAAGUUACUGUAUAUGUAAAGGCUAAAACAUAAAGGAUGCGUAUUUGGAGCAUGGCAGCAUCGUAUCAAGAGCAGCAAUGCUAAAGAUACGCAACAAGUCUAUUUUUGCUGCUCUACGCUUCCAACACGCGUCAAUCCACACAGAGAAGAUUGUUCUAGACAGGAAGUCAAGCAGGAAAACCGAGCAUGUCAUCUGGUAUUAAAAAAAAAAAAAAAAAACAGGGCCCGACAGUGAGACUGUUUCACUCGCACUUGCGACUUGAAUUGUCAAAUGUAUUUAGGGUCACAUGUGGGCAUAAAAAAAAAAAAAUUGGCUGAGGCAACAAAUGUUUUUUCCCUUUAAAUACCGCGGUGAAGUUAGUUUAGGUUGGAUAUUUGUCAGACAUUCACUGAUGAUCUACCGGUGUCUUCUCACUUUCCAUAACUGAGAAUAACAACAGCAGCGCGAUUAAAUCUACUCGGCACCCUCGCUGUUUACGUCGGGUGUUGAAUAAGGGACCAUCAAUAAAUUACCAGUUGAUGUUCUCAAAAAAGACUGUUUUCCUUCAAUAGCUUCCAUGUGACCAGCUGACCUAAAAUUGAUUUCAAAUAAUAUUACUAAGGUCGGACAAUACGACAAACAUUUUGAUGAAUUUUCAUUGUGACCCCUAAAGUUUUUUGUGUGCUCCUUACUUUUUUAACUUAGGAGCACAUGUGAAAAAAAUUAGUGUCAAGCCCUGAACGCCAUAUGUGAACUCCCGACUGUGUAUCAGUUGGUGUAGAUGAAAAAUCUUUCCUGUUUCUGGAUUUAUCAGAAACACAGAACAAUCUAAUGGUCAAUAUCUGAUCCAUGUGGACCACAACAGGACUUUGAACUGCUAACUCUGUCUAAAGGUAAUCUAAAGGCACAGCAUAAAGGAACAUAGUUUACUUUAUUAAACACCAGUAAACCAGCAAAAACACAAACUGGAAAAUCACUCCAAGCUUUUUUACAUAUAGUAGAGGCUCAACAGUCACUGAAUUAUAUCCAAAUUAUCAGGAAAUCGACCACAAAAAGAAAAAACAUGUUGAGAGCAUGUCAUUUCCACUCCAAAUACGCUGAUCCUGUAUGUGACACCCAACGGUGCUCUACAGAGCAAAUACAGAAUGCGCUCAAUACGGAUCCUGUAUGUUUUCGGCUUAACACUUGUCUUUCAAACAUGUCCGUGUGCUCUGUUACAGUCCAGGUCCCUGUGUGGGCUUCAUCUAGCCCACACAGCUCCAGUGGUUUCAGUUGGGUCAGUGGAGUAGUGACCCUUUUCUCAUGCGAGUACAAACUGUGCACACUGAUCGUGAAUUUAUACACACUCUCCUUUACCUUCUCUAAAAACAACAAACAUUGUAAAUAUUCAUUAUCACUCUUUUUAUGAUUUACAUGCAAACACAGCUGCUCAGUACAGCCUUGUCUGCCUGUUGCACGGCUCUACGCUCUCAUGGUUGUUGUUGUGGCGUGCUAAUGUUUUACAAACCCAAGGCCGUCUCAGGAACAGUCUUUGUGUUUGUAUUCUUCCUGCCUCACAGAAAAAAAAAACAUCUGACCCUGACUCGCCAUCGGCGUUUCUCCUCCGCACUGUCGUCUGGAAACAAGAUGGUUAUUUUUCUAUGUCCUGACACUCGGAGAUUGAAUUUCAGAACAAACAGAUAAACAGGCCGCCACGGGCCUUUUCACAAAGCCUCCACCUACAGAGCGCCAUCUCUGUAAAUCAUAACGCCGCAGAGGGUCGCAGGAGUAAAAAGCAGGGAGGGUCUUGAUAUUUCUCCCCCUCGUACCUGACCUUACAUUUAUAUGACUGAUUUCUGCGCGCAUGUCGGGACCUCUCCUCGGCUGUGCAUGUGGAUUUCAAAUGACUUCUUUAUUCACAUGUCUGAAGCCACACAGAAGUCAUGAAUCAAUGUAAAAGAGGUCAUUUACGUGUUGGAGGAGGGCAGCCCGGGACAAAAACAAGAUUCAUCAUGUGUAGACAGUCUGACAGGAAGGUUUGAUCCUGCUCAGAUAAUGACAAUAGUCACGUGGAGCUGCUGCUGCAGAGUCCUCGAACACUCAGAGGCGGAAAGUUUGGCACUUUCUGACCAAACUAAACUUCUCUCACUCCAAAUCUCUCUUCUUGUCCCCCUCAGUCCAACCUUUGUGCUCCAGUCUCCCAGAACACCCGCCUCCUCACCCGUCACCACCGAGUUAAUGAUGACUGACACCCACGGACACUGUGGGUGAGAGCCGAGCGUGCACACCUCCUCCAAGAGGCAGGUAUUGAUCCAGAACAUUCUUUUCUCUCUGCUCACUGUAGCCGCCGGCUGCUGGAUGGCGCCUGAACCUCCUGCUCGCAGACUGGUGUGACUCGGUGUAACCUCUCCCAGAUGAUAUAAGUUAGGCUGAGGGAGACAAGCUGCUGUAGCCGCUGCUGUCAAUCACUUUUUUUUAUUAUAUUAGACAGAGAGCUUUAAUUCUCCGCCGAGAUCUCAGUUUGUUGAAGAUUGGUGGUGGUGUCGGGGGGAUAUGCAGAAAUUUAUGAGGUCUGGCGUGAUCCAUCAAAAUGAGGCGACAGAAACAGCUGACACCUGCUAAUCUGCUCUGUCAAAAGACAUUCUUAAAGGGAUAGUUCGCUCUUUAAAGUGAGGUUUUCUGAGGUGGUAGAAGAGGGGUUAGGGGUUCUAUCACAAGUCGUAUAGACUAUUGUAAUGCCCUGCUUUCUGCUCUUCCCAAAAGGAAUAUUUCAGGUCUACAAUUAUUAUAAAAUUCAGCGUGUCCUGACCAAGACCAGGAGGCAGGCCCACAUUACAAGGGUUUUAAAAUCAUUGCAUUGGCUCUCUGUGUGUGUUGGGAUCGAUUUUAAGGUUCUUUUACUUGUUUUUAAAUGUCUUAAUGGUCUUGGGCCUUCUUAUCUUUCAGAACUGCUUUUACCUUAUGAACCUUCACAGACCCUGCACUCCUCUGGCAGCAGGCUCCUAGUCAUUCCAAAAGUCAGGACACACACUCAUGGUGAGGCGUCUUUUCAAUAUUACGGCCCUCAUCUAUGCAACAGCCUGCCAGAGGACCUCAGGGCCGCAGAGAACAUUCGUGUUUUUAAGAGCAGGCUCAAGACCCACCUUUUUAGCUUUUAAUUGAUAUUUAUUUGUUUUAUCUUCAUUUAUUCUAGUUAGCCUAGGUUUAUUUUAGGUCUGUGUUUUAUUCAUAUUUUAGUUUUUACUUGUUUUUAUCACCAGGAGCGGUGGUCCCUUGUGGUUGCAGGGGCUUGUCACAGGGUUUCUGGUGGUUGGUGUCUGACUCAUCCCUCCACUGGCCCUGUGUGUGGGUUGGGAUCUCGAAUAGUUUUUGGUUUUUAAACUAACUGUAAAGCACUUUGCGUUACAUCCUUUUGUAUGACAGGUGUCACUUGAUUGAUUUGAUUUGAUGUUUGUGAUUUGCUGAUUUUUCCCUGGAAUUACUUUGCUGUCAGAAAAUGAAAAAAAUUAAAUAAAAUCAAGUACGAGACAAAGCCAAUCCUCCAAGACCCAAAUAUUUUUUUGACACCAGGCUGUGAACACGUUUAUUUCUGUUGUUAAAGUCUGACGUUUUUACACAGAGCUCUUUGAGGACUGACUCACUUUUGAAGAUAGCCUCUAGUGGACACUCAUAGAACUGCAGUUUGUGCUUCUUCAUUGGUUUCUCUUUUUUGGUGAAUCUGGGACCAGACAUCAUCUCUGCUUACUGUCCUGAUUAGUGAAAGGAUUCAAAGACAUCCAUCUGUUGAAGACCGCCCUCCUAAACUCCUCUCAGGAUCCUGUUAGUCCCUGAAACAACAGAAACAAGGAUUUCAGGCCACAACAUCCACCAUCCAUCCUCUGAGCAGAGCAGGACUCAGAGGAUUAUUAUUCCUCCUGCAACUCUGUGAAAUCUGUGAACGUACACAGACAGAAAGCAACUUGAAUAAUGAUCAGAAAUAUCCAUUUAUUAGACAGAGUGCUGACCCAGCUCACUGAGGCAUACAGUGAGGAAAAUCACUGAGGAAUAGAUUCAAUCUCUCUUUAUCUUUCUUCUUUCUCAUACACAAUCUCCUUCUCUCCCGCUGCUUCAUAUAUUUGAGUUAUUCCACCGUCACAGUAAUCGCUCUGUGACUCAGUGAUUCGCUGCUGUAAUAUGAGGUUGCCCUUCUCAACCCCUCCUCUGUCCUCAGCUUUAACCUUCCAGGUGUCUCUUUGUCUCUUAAAUUGCCUGAUCACUGAGGAGAUUCAGCACAGCUGAAGGUUUUCUGAAGGAUCGCUGCCGCCGAGCUUUACAUCGACGAAACUCCUUACAUGUAUCUUCUUGGUUUUUAUUAUUCCCCUCACAGAUGUCUUCUGAAUGCAAAAGCACACGGCGGUGUUGACCAUUUCCGUCAAAUUACCCUGGCUUCUGAUUGAAGGGUACGAGCUGGCAUUUCGUGGCUUUCAAAGAGCACACAGUGAGCAGGCUGAAGAGGUGCAGCGCUGCCUCUGCAGAGACAGCUUUAGUGUGCGCUGCCUUUUUCUGAGUCCAAAAGGUGAGGCUGAUUAGAGGAUUGAGGUGACCUGCUGUCACUGCUGAGCCUGCUGUCUCUGUGUGAGCUCAGGUUUUUAUCUGAUAGAUUCACUCUGUGUCCAUGUUCAGCUUUAUCUGACUGACUUCACAGAGUUAAAUCAAAUAUCUCUGAGGUUUAGUGGCUAAACGUGUCUCUUUAUCCCUACGAAUGCUUGAAAAUCUGUGUGGUUCAGAAUCAUUCCGCAGGACGGAAAAUAGAAAUAAAUUUUUGAGCCUCUACCAUAAGAACCUGACACUCAUAUGAUCAAUAAGCUAACCCAUCGCUUCUGGAAUUUUCUCCACGAGCCAAUCCAGCACAGAACUUGAAGUAAACUGCAGUUCCUCCAGUGUCCACUAGAGGCUGUGUCUAAAAGAGAGUCAGUCCCCAUAGAAACCCAUGUUAAAAAGUCAAACUUUACAGCUUAAUAAAUGGAGUUUACAAUUUUCAAAGAAGAGUCACAUGACGUAUUUGUCAAAUGUUGGGGGAAGACAUGAUAAUGGAAUGAUGUACAAACUGCAAUUCCUCCAGAGUUCACUAGAGGCUGUGUCCAAAAAAGAGUCAGUCCCCAUAGAGCCCCAUGUUAAAACAUCCAACUUACACAGCGGAAAUAAGAUAAAAGCUACAUUUAGAGAAAAACCCAUAUGUUAACAUUUUAUUAAAGGGUAAAUAUGAAUAUAAAGGGGGCGGGGUCUCUUUGAGUGACAGGUGAGAGCUGCUAGCCAUCUGUCUGAUGUUUCCUCAGUUAAUUCAGUCGCUAAACUUAACCUCUGGGCACUUUUUACAGCCAUUAAACUGAAUAAACGCUAAACAUUAGCAUGUUAGCAUGUAAGCAUCAACUUAGCUCGCACAAUUACGAAAGCAAACAGCUUAGAAAUGGAGUUUACCUUUUUUGAAGAAGAGUCACAUGACGUAUUUGUCAAAUAUUAAGGGAUGACAUGAUAAUGGAAUGAUGUACAGACUGCGGUUCCUCCAGUGUCCACUAGAGGCUGUGUUCAAAAGAGAGCCACUCCCUACAGAACCCCAUGGUAAAAAGUCCAACUUUCACAGCUGAAAUAAGCAAACAGCUAAACUUAUAGGGGACUCAUAAGUAUACAUUAUAUUAAAGAUUAGACAUGAAUAUAAAGGGGGCGGGGCCUCUUUGAGUGACGGGUGAGUGCUGCUAGCUGUCUGUUGAAUGUUGCCUUAGUUAAUUCAGUCACUAAACUUAACCUCUGAACGCUUUUUAAAACCAUUUAAACUGAAUCCACACUAAACAUUAGAAUUUUAGCAUCACCUUAGCUCGCACAAUAACAUUAGCAAACAUUUUUAAAAUGAAAUUUACCUUUUUGAAUUCGACUCCCAUAAAAUAUUGUCAAAUAUUAAGGGAUGGCACGAUAAUGGAGUGGUGCACAGGCUGCAGUUCCUCCAGUGUUCCUACAUUUCUUAAUUCCUGUCAGUUUUAUAACCAGCCAAAAACUGGAGCAAAGCCUUGGUGCUAGUUCAGGCAGUCACCCUGUCACAUGGACAUUUAUCGUUCUCUGUGUUGGAGUUUUAUCUAUAUGACUUGUUUUCCCACAUUUCCAAGUUUAAAAAUGAAACUUUAUUUGUGUUACAGAUAUUUAUUUCCUUCUUUGUUAUUUUAGGAAAUGUCGGAUGUGACAGAGCAGAAAACAUCAGCGAAGAAAGUUUUUUUUUAACCGAAAACUGAAGUGGAAGUCAAACUCCGACUGUAAGCGUCUCCUCUGAAGACAGAUGCAGCCACAGCCUGUGAUUUCACACUUCAUUGAAUAUAAAGUUCAUUAUUAAAGUUUAAUGAAGACUUUUUUGUUUGCUCUUACUAGAUAAACACUCCAAGCAUUCACUGGAGAUGAUUCCUCUACUCUCUAAUUUAUUUCCCUGCUUUUAGAGGAGGAAUUCAGGGAUGUAACAACGAUUAUUUUAAUUAGUAAAGGCUUAUUUCUGGAUUACGACUUUUGCUGACUCAGGCCCUGGAGAGGCAGACAUCCAGGUUGAAGAAGGAUGAAGACGAAGGAUGCCAUCUUUUCUUAAACCUGCUCACACCACCGGCCAUUCAGAGGAGCACAUGUGUAAAUAAAACAUGGAUCUAAUACGUAAGGAUGGGUUUGUUGAGCUGAACCUGGACUGUGUGAACAUUUAAGCAAAGAAAAUGAUGGUUAAUAGCAGAAAAUGCUCUUUUUUUUAUUUAUUGGAGCAACAGACCAUUCAAACAUUAAAAACAUUAUUAUACUGUUGGAGCUAAAUGAGCAUUUACUCAUUGUUUUAAAGCAUUUAAUUUCAUUAUGGUGAUGAUGACCGACAGUUAAAGGUAAAAGAGACAUGUCUGUAUCUGAAAUCCUCUCAGUGAAUACUAUAAUAACUUUAGACGCCUCUGUUUCUUCAAGGAUUGGUUUCAGUCACCGGUGUUUGUCACUUCUCUUCCACCAGUGAUUGUAACAAAUCAGUAGUGAGGGUUAUGAGUCGUUCCUGUCACACUCUCAGACUUGCUCAGUGAGGUCAAACCGAGUAUUAAACUGCCUGUCCUGCAUGUUUCAUUAUUUAUUUUGAUGUUCCAGAUAACCGACUCUAAGUUUUCAUUUAUUCAUACAAGUGAUGCAUUAGAAUAAGUGAUUUUGGCUCCAUCCAUUCACAAGAUUUAGAGACGGCAUUAAAGAUAAAUGGCUUACAUAAGUGACUCUGUCACACUUGAAGACUUACCCUGCUCUGCCUCUCCUAUCUGGACUGCUGCCUCUUUAUAUCUUAUCAUCCUCACACUUACUUUAGUUUCGCAUGCAGGUUUAUUCCAGCUUGUUUUCUUUUCAUUACAAUAUAAGAGUCCAGAUUAAUUCACUGUUUAAACAAGUGCCUCACUCUGAAACAGACAUUAGAUUUAACGCUGUCAGCCAUCGAACCCAAAUAUGUAAAGAUCUGAGGACAUUAUUUCCACUUAAAGGUGGGGUAGUCAGGAUCUGAGGAGGUUCCACUUUCUAGGAGAAAUCUUGAAUGUAAACUCUACCCCUCCCAACCAGUUUUCCCCUCAGCUCUUCCUCUCCCCUCCCUCGCUGCUCCAGCAAGCCUCGCCCACAAACAGACGCUCCUGCUCGCUCGUAUCGUUCCAAUUAAAUUCAGAUAUAAUGCAGAUAAAUACUUCAGAUAUUUACAAAUGGAGCCCAGUCAAGGUGAAAGUAAAAAGCAUGGGUGCUACUGUAGAUGCCAACAGACGACCAGCAAACACAAUAAAGUGACGAAGUCUAGGACCCGAGGUCAAAAGUUUAGCGGCGCUACAACACGCUACAGCAGGUCCCGUUUGACAAGAAACACUUCUGUUACAAACACUUGGCUUACUUUGUUAAAGCGGUUUACCUGUCCAGCAGAUAGGUUACAGGGUCACCAAGAUCCAGAAGCGUCCCCCAUCAUUUAUGUUGACCCGGCUUUUUAGCUCUUGUCCAGUCUACCACCUUUUUAAGCGCCCGUUAUUCCGCCAGAGUCUCCGAUAUUUACUUCCUUUUCUUGCUUUUGUUGGCAGUCGUGGCUAAAGGAGGAUUCAGACAAUUUUCCGUACUUUCUGGUUGGUUUCUACUGUCUGAUAUUGUAGCACGCUAACUUUGUUUGGGCUCAUGAAUGUUAUUCGAGGACAUGGAGCGUGCCUCACAACGCGAAGGAGCAGCAUCUGUCUCACAACCAAUCAGGUUGGGGAGGUGGAGAACGGCCUUUUUUACAGCCAGAAAGAGCGGACCACUCAAAAAUGUUAAAAUGUUGACUACACAGACAGAACACAGAGAUAUAAUUCAAUUACCAAAUGUCAUCAAUAACUAAUAACUAAUGACUGAUAUUAAAAGAUUUUUUGUAAAUACACCACAAAAAAAGAUGCUUCUUUAACAGAUUCCUGACUACCCCACCGUUAAGGUCAUUAUUUUAGAAGAACAUGGAUGUUUUAUUUUGAUGGAUCACUGAAACAUGUUAAAGGCAGUUUUUUAAUGUUGUCCCAGAUUUGUCACUGCAGCUCCCAAAGACUGCGACUGACUUAUUUGUGAGAGUGUAAACUUUAAACUUGACUCUGGGUCUGGAUUUUGGUCUGAAGAGUGUUUCUGCUCCCUGUUUGAAUUCCGCUAUAGUCUGAGUAACAGCAGACCUUUGUUUCUACGAGUAAAACAGUCUGUAAAAAAAAUCUGUCAAAACACUUUUGAUCUGCCCCACUGAGAAUUUUUCAGUCUAAAAGACGUUUGAUAGACAUCUAAUGGUCCUGAGACAUCUGGGCUAAAAUUGGUCUACCAAAAAUGAACGUUUUUUAGUGGUUUGAGCUAAUACUAGCCAUCUUAGAGACUAAACUACACUUACAGUUGUUUUUUUAUUUAAUAAUUAAUUGAUUAAAUUCUAUCAUCUAGAUUCGGGCUAAAAUCCCAUUUUAGGUUGAGUCUUGAUAAUCUAUCAAACAAUGAGUGUGGUCUAGACCUGCUCUUGUUCUUUGAAAAGCAUCUUGGGAUGACGACUGUUGUGAAUUGGCGCUAUAUAAAUUUAAUUUGAAUUAAAUUUGAUUGAUUGAAUUUGAUUGAUUGAUCAAAUUUAGACCGAUUGAUCCAAUUUAGACGAUUAUAGAUGGACAUCUAGGGCUCAGUGAGGUAAUAGAGUUGCAUCUGAAGUUUGAGUGUGAAUUAUGAAGUCAUUCAUCACUAACUGCUUGAAAUCUGUAAAUAUUUAAUAUACAGUACAGGCCAAAAGUUUGGACACACUUUCUCAUUCAAUGUCUUUUCUUUUUUUUUUAUAUGACAUAUAUUAUAAUAUUAUAUUUUAUAUUUACAUUGUAGAUUGUCACUGAAGGCAUUAAAACUAUGAAUGAACACAUGUAGAAUUUUUUACUUAUAAAAAAAGUGUGAAAUAACCGAAAACAUUCUUAAUAUUCUAGUUUCUUUAAAAUAGCCACUCUUUGCUCUUGAUGACAGAAGUACCUUGUCAGGCUUACUUCAGGCACUCCUGUGAAGUAAAAACCAUUUCAGGUGACUACCUCAUGAAGCUCAUUGAGAGAACAGCGAAAGUUUGCAGCGCUAUCAAAAAAGCAAAGAGUGGCUACUUUGAGAAAUCUAAAAUAUAAAACAUGUUUUCAGUUAUUUCACACUUUUUUCUUAAGCACAUGAUUUCUCAUGUGUUCAUUCAUAGUUUUGAGAAUCUACAAUUUAAAUAGUAAUGAAAACAAAGAAAAUGCAUUGAAUGAGAAGGUGUGUCCAAACUUUUGGCCUGUACUGUAUGUUAUCAAAAUAUAGUUCAUGCAGAUGUCUACAAACAAUCGCUGCCAUAUUAUUACCUUAAAAUUACACAUUUGAACAAAAACUGUUCAUGCAGCACAUGCAGAAAAAUAAGAUUUUCGCUCGUCUCCUGCUUCAUUUCUACUCUUUAGCAAGUCAUGCACUCAAACUUUGACCCAGUUUGGAGCUCAUAUUUCUUUUUACUCCAGCUAAACAAGUGAGCCUGCAAACAUUAGUCAACCUGCAUUAUGGGAAACAUAGGCAUUUCAUCAGAAAAAUGACUGAACUCAGUGCUGACGCUCCCUUUGAAUGUUGCAGGAGAAAUGCACCGCUGCACCGCAGUGAUGCUGUCUCAGCUGCCAUCGUCAUGUCAGAGGGGGAACAUGCACAGACAUGUCAGUAUGUACGUAACAUGUAAUAUGCAACAUAUGCACAUAUGUGACAUAUACAGCCUGAGGAGAGAGUUAGAAAACAUGUGCACAUCAUAAAUGUAAUAUCAGACCAGCAGAGUGUUUUAGUGCACAUAAUACAGAUGCAAAUGUUCAUUAACACUCUGUGUAACUACGCCGAAUCUGAAUCUGUCACACUGCGUUAAAACUGCACUUAUUUACACACAAAGCAGGAUUUAUUUUCCUGCAGGUCAGAUUCAUUCUGUCGCUCCUGCUGCUGCAUAAACCGAAAUAUUGUGCCGUGUGAGGGCAGGACAAUAAAAAAUCAAAUGGAAGUGGUAAAAGCAUUUUUCUGGUUAGAAGCACUCAAAGGGAAGAAACAUCCAACAUGAAUUGUUGCCUCUGACCUGUGAUUGCUGCCUUUUUUAUUUUUUUUGUUCCAGAAAGGGUACAAAGUGCAGCCGGAAAAUGAUGGAGAGUCGUGUGGAGGAGAGAGAGAGAGAGAGAGAAGGGAAAAGUUGAGCUGAGUUUUGCAGGAAGUGCGGUGAAUGUGUGUUUGAAAUCCAAUAUCACGGCUUCUGCAGAGCACAUUUGUUCAUCCCUGCUUCAGUAAACGCUGUCAGCCUGUGUGAGGAGGCAAAUCAGCCAUUUCAGACGCUAACAUCUCUCAGUUUCAGCCUCAACGCUCCAUCAACAUUUACUCCAAGUUCACAGAGGUGCUGGAGCGUACAGGCAGGUAUAUGUAGUGUAUCUACCUCUGUGCAGGACAGGGUGACUGUAUUUUUACCUGAAGACUGUCACAGACAUAAAUCGAAGGAGAUGCUGGAGCAGAAAAGUUAUAGGUGACUGUUAAACGUUCAUUUUUCUGCCUUUUAGUCUGAUCCGGAUUAUAAACGAGUCUGUAAAACUCUCCAGAUUCAUCUCUGGCAGUCAAACUUUGGUGCAGGUGAAAUUUUUCCACUGACCAAAAGCAGGUGAAGUGAACAGAGAUUCAUUUUCGUUUUUUCCAAACUUCUGCAUCUCAUUUUAAAUGAGUCUGCUCAAUUUGGUGAACUGUUACAGUCGUACGGUUUCUCUACUUGAAAAAUUGGUGCAAUUAGAUUCUGGUUGUCAUCUCACCUCCGCAGUCAGCAGAAACCACCAUCACCUGGGCCCCACCAAAAUGGCAGCUCAGUCGCUCGGAGAGAAAAAUAUUUGGCGCUGAUAAAUCUGACAUAUAAACUGAUUUGUUACACUUAUUUUGGGAAAAGUGCAUCAUAUUUUAUCUGGAGAGUAUCUCUCUUUUUCCCCCGGCUGGUCUGACUCAGCUUUGGGUGAUUUAUGGAGCUCUCACUGUGACAGAUAGCUUAUUUUGUUUCUAACUACUGCAAAAGUUUGUAUCUGAAGUGAGUUUUAAAGCUGUGUCAAAAUCCACGGAGCGGAAAAACAGGAUCUGCAGGAAAAAAACUGAACUUAUAGAUAAAGUGUAAAAAUAUAAAAGCUAUUAAACCAAAUGGAGAACUCUGGUGGUCAGUACAUUUAUUUAGAAAUAAGACAAGAUAACCCUUUAAUAUUCUCACGGCAUUGUUACAGCAGUAAAGGUAAAAAUAAGGGCUGGGACUUUAACGGGUUAAUUGCGAUUAAUUCAUUGUCGUUUUCUUCUGCUUAUCUGGGUCCGGGUCGUGGGGGCAGCAGCUUCAGGAGGGAAGCACAGACGAGCCCUCACCGUAGCCACUUCCACCAGCUCCUCUGGGGGGAUUCCCAGGCCAGGCGAGAGAUAUAAUCCCUCCACCUGGUCCUGGGCCGGCCACAAGGUCUCCUCCCGGUGGGACAUGUCUGGAACACCUCUAAAGGGAGGCGUCUAGAAGGCAUCCUAACCAGAUACCCGAGCCACCUCAGCUGACUCCUGUCGAUGUGGAGGAGCAGCGGUUCUACUCUGAGCGCCUCCCAAGUGUCUGACCCUAUCGCUAAGGCUGAGCCUGGCCACACUGCGAAGGAAACCCAUUUCAGCCGCUUGUAUCCGUGAUCUUGUUCUUUCGGUCAUUACCCAAAGUUCAUGACCAUAGGUGAGGAUCGCCACGUUGAUCGACCGGUAAAUCGAGAGUCUGGCCUUACGACUCAGCUCUUUGUUCACCACGACUGAUCGGUAAAGCGUCUGCAUCACUGCUGACGCAACUCCGAUCCGCCUACCCUCACUCAUGAACAAGAUCCCGAGAUACUUGAACUCCUCCACUUGAGGUGAUUAAUUAAUUACAGUAAUAUUAUCUCAUUAAAAAUAUUAACUCAUAUCAAUUGCACCUACUGUAUAUUUGUACCGCAGAACGUUUCUGGACGAGUUCAGGUAUCCUGCUUAUACCAGUGCACCCCAAUGUGAGUGAGUGCAGCAGUGACUCCAGCUCACGCAAAAAUGAACGAUCAAAUACCGGAGACUCUGGCGGAAUAACGGGUGCUUGAAAAGGAGGUAGACCGGACAAGAGCUAAAAAGCCGGAUCAACAUAAAUGAUGGGGAAUGCUUGGGGAUCUUGGUGACCCUGUAACCUUUCUGCUGGACAGGUAAACCACUUUAACAAAGUAACCCAAGUGUCUGUAACAGAAGUGUUUCUUGUCAAACGGGACCUUCUGUAGUGUGUUGUAGCGCCACUAAACUGUUGACCUCUGGUCCUGGACUAUGUCACUUUAUCCUAGUUGUAGAAGUCCUGCAAACAUUGUGUUUGCUGGUAGUGUGUUGGCAUCUCCAGUAGCACCAAUGCUUUUUACUUUCACAUUGACUGGGCCCCAUUUGUAAUUAUCUGAAGUAUUUAUCUGCAAUUUUACUGGAAUGAUAGGAGCGAGCAGGAGCGACUGUUUGUGGGCAGGGAUCCUGACUACUACACAGUGAAAAGAAAAUAAUCAAGAUUUUAUUUGUUUAAGCUCAUGUAUUCAUUCAGUUUACUAGUCACUGAUUCACUUGUAGACCACUUUAAGAAAUUAUUCUCACUAUUCUCAGGUCAAAUAUUGAUAUGCGAUUAAAAUGCGAUUAAUUAGAUACAUUUUUUAAUUGAGUCCCAGCCAUAAUAAUAAUACACUGAAUAUUUCAUUUUUGGUUUUACUCCAUUAAUCAUCAGAAUAAGUGUUAAAUCACUAAACUUGCCCUAAACAGACUGUUGCCAUCGGUCCUGGUUUUUCUCUCCUUUCAUAUUCAUGAUGACUUUGUCAGUUUGGUGUGAUGCGAUGUCCCCUGAAGAUCUGCUGUGUCUGCAGGUGUCUAUACGGCGGCAGUGGCGGCGUUGUGGCUCCUGUGGUGAUAUUUGUCAGCUUUGAAUGGAGACGAUCAGGACAAACAGUGAGAGACAGGCGGCACAAAGGCUUCCCACGGUGCGGCAGGAUUAAUAGCACCCACGUAAGGUUCCAGAGGGGAGCAGCUCACAAUGUGGGAGUCCUCAGAGGCGGGUGAGCGCGCUGCUCUUAAUGGUGGGGUAUUGAAAAUCGUAGCCGUCUUCCUGCUGAGUGAAUCAUUUGUCUGAAGGUGUCAGAAAGAUGCAGAUGAAUAAAAGAGGACAUUUUUCUGUCUUCUCAGGCGACUAUGAGAGAAGGCGCAGUAAAGAUGGACGACAUUAGACAUCAUUCAUGCAUCAACUAAGUCAAAUGUGCGUCUGACAGAAGGUCUGUUCAAAGACUCUCAGAGGAACGUCUGCUUCCUCACAACAAGCGUGAGCAGGUUUCAUAAGUCUGUUUUUUUUUUUUGCAUAAAUUCACAUGUUCUGACUAACUACCCUGAGCGUGAGGAGAGCUCCUCCAUUUCGACUCUAAUGGUCCAUCGUGUGCUCAUUUCCAUUUCAGAUCCACACAACCUGAUGACAAAACUCUCCUCCUGAACUUGACGUCUAACUUUCCCGUAUCGUUAAAGUUGUGAAGUGGACGACCCGCGCACCCUUCGCCCACAGCCCCUCCUUACAGCUUCAGAUCCCCUGAACCCUCCCCUCAGUGUGGGUUCGACUAAACAAUGUACCAGCAGAUGCUUUUAUGAAAACAGCAGUCUGAAAAAAAACAACAAAGAGGAAAAAUUAACAGUUUCAACAAUAACAUCCAUACAGCAGAUCUCCCAAAGCCAAAUCCAUCUGCCAAAAAAAGACCUUUUCACCCAGCAAUGCUGCAAAUGUGUCUUUUCAUCUAGAUCUCCAAAUCCAUUGGCUGUGCUGGAACUAAAAUAAGACCCCUGCUAUGGCUGCCAAUGUUUCAGAGCUGAUUCCAGGCCUGCUCCUUUUUCUCCUUUUCACACAGACUGUUCUGCUGCAUACGACUAACACCAACACCGGGCCAAAACUGAAAAAUAAUGAUAAAAAAAACUGAGUAUGUUUCAGUAUCAGACUGAUUUCUGCCUGAAAACAAUCUCAGAUCAGGAACCAUCUGGGGAUCUCCUGAGAUUACCGUGAAGUUUGAGGACUUUGGUUUGUAAUAAACGACUUUGAAGACUCCACCCAAACACAACUCACCUACUCUCUUCCAGCACCUGCUAGUUUGUAGCAAGACCUCUGGGCCAGUCCAUUACGGACUACAGUGGUGUGACACAACUCAAGGAAGAACAUUUAUGAUCAUUUCUUCAUGGAAAUGCAAUCAGAUCGAGAUGCUAAGGCAGAAGAACUACCGCGUCUGCAGUGCAAAAUGAUUAAUAUGAUGAUUAUUACUUCAAGGAAAUGAUAAAGAAAUGAUCAAAAAUGUUCUUCCUUGAGCUGCGUUACCCCGCUGUAGUCCGUUAUGGACUGGCCUGAGGUCACACUACAAACAAGCGGCUGCUGGAAGAGAGUAGGUGACUUGUGUUUAGUCUCUUUGCUAAAGAAAUUAGUCAAAGUUAAAAAGAUGUUCGGUGGCUAGUACUAUGGCUGGGACCCUAUAUGUCCUGUUGAUGAAGUUAGGUGCUGUUCUGAGCAUUAUUUGUGGCUACAGAGUGGCGUUUUGGUUGAGGUUUGUUUAUGGCUUCUCAGACCGCUGUGUAUUGCUAUCCUGCGGUCGUUACUAAAGUUGGUAUAACUAGAGAAGCAAGCGGUCGGCAACAUUCAUUUCUGGAGGGGGUGUCUAACUCAGUGUUAUGGUGUGUUUGACCCUAAAUUAUUUUUACACUGGAAUAUCCCUUUAAUGAACAGAUAGACUGUCAGCUGACCUUUAAAACAGAUAUCUGUUCACACAGAAAAGUAAACUGUCAUCGGUUUACUCUUGCUGGACGUCGGGAUGUCAAUGCCGUGGAUUGUGUUCUUCACAGAGAAACCAAAGCCCGACCACUCUUUGUAUUUAAUUCAUUUUUCAUUCUUUUUUUUUUCACGUUUAAUAUUUACAUGUCGAUUAACCCUUUAGGCUCAGAGUCUAUUCCUCUUCCUGGUGUUUAUUAGACUUACCUGGAUAGUCUGUUAUUGUAAAGACUGAGUAUCUUCAGACGAUGGCGGGCUUUCUGUUUGUGGUUAUUUUGUACCAACUAGAUUUAUGCUAACUGCCCUGACAGUGUUGUAAUGUUCAGUCCAUAACACCCGAAAAGGCGUCGAAUACAAUCCUUUACAUUCAUUAGAAAAUAACUGUUUGGCCUUCAUCCCUCGGAGGGUCUUUUUCCUCCACAUGACUUUUCGUCUUCAUCGUCAAUGAGCCGUUUGUUUCUUCUUCACGCCUAAAUGCCCCUUUUGUCUUUGCUCUUAACAUCACUAUGUCUCAUUAUCAAUAACAAUGUUUUCAGGACAAUUGUUUUCCAUUAAUCCCUCGGCUCUGUGCAUUUCACUGCACACGAGCUGUUGUAGCAUCCCAUUAAAUCCACACUGAACCACCCACCUUUCAUCCUUUCAUUUCAGCUCCAGUUUUUUUUUUCCAGUCAUUUUUCACAGCUGACUCCCCCAUCUUUCACCUCUCUUUUCCCUCUCCCGCCUCGUCCUCCACGGGUUCACCUCCUCCUCUCCGUCUAAUGGAAGCUAAUGUUUGUGAUUUAUGGUUAUUUUUCCAGCAGCCGCUUUGCAGAGAAGCAGAGAAACAUUGGGCCAUAUAAAAAGUGUAAAUCCUGGAACAAUUUAACCCCUGAAAGUCUCAGACUGAACGGAGCAACCUUUCUCUGUGUUUCAUCUUUAUCUACAGUUCAGAGAUUAAUCUUGUUUGUUGUGUUGGGAGCUGGCAUUUUCUCACUUUUAUGAUAGAUCUCAGUGUGGUUAAUUAGUCUGGCGACCACUUUCAUUUCCAGCCUGAAGUCGGCUAACCUUAAUGUGCUCUGUACAGUAAUCUGAAAUUAAUGGCCAUUAUCAUUUCAGGCGUUUCAGGCUUUUAGUUAGCCACUGUGUGUCUCUCUCGGCUGGAGGUUUUUCCAUGUGUCUGUGCGUGUGUGUGUGUGUGUGUGUGUGUGUGUGUGUGUGUGUGUGUGUGUGUGUGUGUGUGUGUGUGUGUGUGUGUGUGUGAAUCAGAAAUGUGUCUAUUCCUGCAGAUGCUCCUGUGAUUCUGUGCUGAUCGAUUAUCAGGUCACAUGACCUUAAAUCACAAACUGAUGGCGUCUGUUUAUCUCCCUGUUGUUCCUGGUGGAGCUUCUCGAUGUUCCCUAAAUGUUAAUCCUGGAGCUGAGGGAGUGUUUCUGUGCCGCUUCCUCUGUCCUCAAAGGUGAUUCCAGGAUUUUAUGACCCUCAUUUUACGUCAUGUGGAAUCUAAAUGACCACAAUAAGAAGUUGCAGGACGUGUCCGAUGAAAGACACGAGGCUAAUCCUGAGUCUUGCGCACUAAUCUCACUCAGUAAAUCACAAAAAAACUAGGUUUCUUUUCAGGAGUUAACAGCUGAAUUCAGCUGACAGGAGCCUGUGUGUAGCUUGCUAAUUACAGUAAAACUGACCCCGAAUUUCCACCACAUCCUGAACGACAGUGAUUUUUGCCAUCUGCCAGUUCCUAUCAGAUACAUUUGUGAGGCAAAUUUCUUGGUGGAUUACGGACAGCAGGAAUCACGGGAACUCACAAGAACCCAUAAAGACAGCAACAUAGAUGUAUAAGCAGUAGAUUGUGUCCUUCCAGAGGAGGAAAUCUACCUUUAGACUUCUAGAAUCAGCAUCUCCUCAUCCAUGGUGUCAUCGGGGUGAAAUGACGUGUAAAAACCUUUAACUUGUUCGUCUCCAACCGUUUGCAUGCUGUGAAAUACGAUCCGCCUGAAACACAGUGUUUUAUUUUGAAAAGAAGCCAGAUGUUUUAUUUUGUGUCUGUGCCCGACUUCCUUUCCAGCAUGGGUUAAUCUGUGCUGAAUUUAUCCGGCAUGCUCCGGCAUCCGGAAAAAAUAGAAAUCUUGUGAUCAGCUAUGGAGUCCGGCAAUCCGCAGCGGAACAUAAAGAAGCCGGUGGAAAUUGACAUGUUAACUUGAAUGGUUACGAUCAGCUACGAUCGGCAGAUACAACCUUUUUGUAGCCAUUCCGGAUGCAGUGGAAACUGGGGGUUAGACUCAACAGAAACACCAGUCAUGAUCCUAUUAAAACAAAAUUAAGACCUGUUCAUUAUCAAAGAAAACUGGUUUCUCUUGAGGAGUUCAUACUGAUGAAAUAAUCUUGACUUACAGUGAAGCUGAGACUAAACAGUUAACAACAAGUAGAUAUAAAGCAAACAGAUUUUUUAUCCAGGAUGAUGACACUGAAUAAGCUCGAAAUCAGAAUUACAGCUAAACUGAGACUCUCUGAAAAUCACAAGAACAAUGUAUUUACUUAAGUUGAAAAAAGCCAGAGAGAGCAGCCUGACUGUAAUGAAACACUCACAGUGAAGCUGAGACUCACCAGAAAUCUAAAUAAGUAUGUCAUAGGUGCAAACUCAACACCAAGCUGUUACAGGUUAUUAAGAAGUAAACUGGUUUCUUAUCCAGGAUAAUGAUGCUUUAGUAAUUCAGAGUGAAGAUCCUUUUAGUUUACAGUGAAAGUGAGACUCACCAGAAGUCUGAAUCAUAAUAUAAUAUAAACCAACUUAAAACCGAAUAACCCCAAGUCAAUCACAAGAACUUUGUUUUUCAUCCAGGAUGAUGCCACUGAGAGACAGAGUAAAGUUUACAGUGAAACUGAGACUCACUUAAACUCUGGAUGAUGAUGUUGAGAUUUCAACUUGACUCUUGUUAAUCACACAAAAUCACAAGAACAUAGUUUUUUUUCCUUGAGUUCAUACUACUAAAGUACACCUAAAGGGAAGUCUGAGUGUUAUUUACUGUUUACAGUGAAACUGAGACUCACCAGAAGUCUGAGUUAUAAUACAUCAACAAACUUAAAACAAAGUAUUUCCAAGUUAAUCACAAGAACAUUAGUUCUUUAUCCAGGUUGAUGCUGCUGAAGUAGCUCAGAGUCAGAGUGUGGCCUUUGUGAAGUUUACAGUGAAACUGAGACUAACUAGAAAUCUGGAUUAUGAUCCUGAUAUUUCAGCAAAUUUAACUACUGUUAAUCACACAAAAUCACAAGAACAGUGUUUUUUUUCUUGAGUUCAUACUACUAAAAUACACCUAAAGUGAAGUCUGAGUGUUAUUUACUGUUUACUGUAAAACUGAGACUCCACAGGGGAUGUGAUAGAUAAUAAAGUGGUAAUAAAGUGGUAGUGUUUAUAUUUUACAGGCAUAGCUGGAGGACUGAAUAAUAAUUGGAUAGUUAAUGACUGAAAAGGAGGUCUUUAAAGUUUGUAUUGCUUGAAAGUGUUGUGUGGUUACUGAGUUUUUUAAGUUUUUCUCAGAUAGAAAUCAGUUUUCAGAGUUUCUCUGUGUGAAUUCUGGUCUUCACAGCUGAGAAAGUGGAACAGUGAUGCUUGGCAGAGGUGGUGUGAAGGGUUUUCUCUUGUCAAGACUGUAGUUUCAUGUCCUGGACACCCACAUCAUAAGAUCGAGGGAUGUGCAAACACCUCCUUGAAGACACGGUACAAACUUUUUGUGAUUUACUCCUCCAUGUUAGGACUGCAGAGGCUUUUUAUGCAUUGUGUUCAUGCACAAGCUUUGUACUGAACGUGUGCAUACAUAGCCCGAUCCAGAGAGCACCACUUUAAGUGCUGAGGAUGUUGCACCAUGUUCCAGUCCUGCGUACCUGGUCUUAAAGUCUUCAAUCGUAGCUCGUUUGUCUUGUUGGAUGUGCAAAGAUAACACAUGAAUGUGUAAACCAUGUUUUAUGACUGCUUCUAUGUCUUCUAUUUCUGUCUAAACUGGAGGUAGACAGGAUGAUGCAAAGCGCCAAGUAUGGCUGAAAAAGAGGGAAAGAGUCAGAGUCCAGAGUGGAUAUAAAUGAGCUGCUGAAGAUGAGAUCAUUUUUAUUUAAAAAGAACAAGGUUAAACUGCUGCUCUUUUCUGUGAUCAAAACUUUUUCAGGAAAAAAUCAGUGGACCUGCUCUGACGCCUCAUGGGAUGGGAAGCGUUAACAAGGUUUUGUUCAUCAAACCUGUUUGUUAAAUGACAUUUCAGAAAGCUCCAAAGAGCCAAUUUGAGCAUGAAAAAGUUCAAAAAUUAAAGCACAUUAAUCAAGGAGUCACUCUUUCUGAUGGUGAAGUGUAGGAGCACCUGUAAUACGAGCCCCCCCGGGGAUUACAUGAUGAAUUACAUGUCUGAUCUGAGCGAGGAUAACCAAUUACACGCAGAUUUAACCCACACCUGCACCAGUGUGCAUGCAUUCAAUGCAUCUUUACUGUGUCAUUAAACCUAGAUCUCACAGUUAAAGAAGUCAACGCUAUCUCAUCUGUAAUCUCUUUAUGCUUUAGAAUAAACUUUGCAUGAAUUUACAUUUUAAUUUUUACGCCAGAAAUAAAACUUAAAGAGAGACGCAACUGGAUCAUGGACUACAAGGACACGAACCCAGGACUGCAGGGACACUGUUGACUAAUAGUCAUGUCAUUCCUGAUCUUUAUGCAAAAGAAGGCCUCUUCAGUCUUCAUUAAAGGGAUAUUUCGGUAUUUUUGGAGUACGGUCACAAGUUCGUGUUCGAGCCAGAGUCGUACUGUGUGUUUGCAACUGAAAAAAAGAACGAUGGUCUGUCUGGUGGAAAAUUUCUCAGGAGAGUAAAAGUUUGUUAUGGAAGCGUAUUGCAUUCAACAAAAACAUAAAAAUAAAUAAAAGCUCUGUUUUUCAGACUUUUUUUUCAGACUAAUUUUCUGUUUUUCAGACUGUUUUUUGUGUGUUUUUCAGGGGGGGGUUUUGUUUUGUUUUUCAGACUAAUUUUUUUUCUGUUUUUCAGCCUUUUUGUUUUGUUUUUCAGACUAAUUUUUCGAAAGGAACAAAAAAAAACUGAAGAAAAAAAGUUACAAAAACAGAAAGAAGAAAAAAAUUAAUCUAAAAAGAGUAAAAAAAAUAAUCUCAGCAGAGUAAAAAAAAUACUCAAAAAAGUUUCCUUUUUUUUUUUCUUUAGGAAGUGAAUGCAGUACUGUUCCGCAGUUUGUGUCAGGAAAUCUGAAAAUUUACUGAAUCAGAGUCUACAGAAAACUGUAGCCUAGUCCAAAUGCUGGACCUCGUGGCGGUUUCUCAUUAAAGGGGUGGAGCUGAGCUGAGCGACUUCUAUCGUAGCUUAAACACUAAAGACACUCGGGGACAACCUCACUUCAAAAAUACUGAAAUACUCAAACGCAGCAUUCACUUUACUUUAGAUUUCCCACAUAUAAAAACAAAAAUAUGAGAAUAAAGUCACCAGAAAACAAUUUACAAAGCUACAAACUGAAACAUCAAAUUAAACUUCAGAGAGCUCUUCAGUCUCCUUCAUCCAGGGGGAGCUCAAGUUUAGAGUCCAGUUUAAUUAAAACCUUUAUCGUUUAUUUUGUGUUUUUGUUUAUCAGUCUGCUGUGUAAAUGAUUCAGAUGUCAAGGUGAUGGCUCAGCCUGUCGUGACUCUGUCGUGUCCCUCACUCUGUGAACCUCUGCUCUGGUGUUUGUGCAGAGAUUCAGAGGACUUAAAGCAUGUUAAAAAUGUCAAAUAUACUCAUCCUGUGAAAGAGGAAAGUAUUGUAUCCCUGCAUUGCCCUGGAAACUGUGACUACCAUCACAAACAUGACUAAGAUGCUGCUGAACCAAGUAAACACAACAUGAAGUUGUUUGAGAGGAAGGCAUUGUGGACUUUUUAAAAAAAAGGUUGUAAAAUGAUGAUUAUCUUCUCUUUUAAAGGACAAAGUCUGGAAAUAGUGCGAAAUUCUGUGCCAGAAAUAAAUCUGUCAUUUUUAACACGAGCGAUAGAGAGAGCGCUCUUUCAUUGUGUGUGAAGAUUUAAGACAAACGCAAACGCAGCAUGAAAAGCGGCGAGCACAGCCUUCGGUCAGCCAGCUUUCAGCCUAAGAGAGCUUUGCUGUUUCACAAACUGCCAAAGUGGCUUUAAGGCAGCGUGUUGGUGCAGCUCUGUAAACGCUGAUAGCAGUCGUCAGAGGAGAGCGUUUCCUUCAGGCGUUUAGCUGAGGGCAGGUUGUCACACAGCAUGACCCUGAGGAGGAGGAGGAGGAGGAGAAGGGUAUGAUGGAGGCCGGUGAGGAAAACAUCAUCUGGUGAGGAAAAGUGUCUUCAGAUGUGAUCAGCUCCUGCUCUGAGAGGAUAAUGAAAUCCUCUGUGCAAAGAGAGAAGAAAGAGGACAGAGUGAAGGGGAGGUGGAAAAUUGUUUUCUCAGGUCAGAGGAUUGGAUUUGAAAAGAGUCAAAGAUUGAUGUCACACGUGAAACCGAUGAGGAGAGGAUGAAGAGGUAGAGAAGAGAAACCCAAAGCCUGUCAGCGGCGGGGACAUAAUAACAGAGAAGAUCUCUCUCUUUUCUGUCUGUGCUUCUCUGCAGGGAUGAGAUUGUCAGCAGAACAAACAGGUACACUGAGUGAGUGCAGAUGGUCCACCUCAACCACCACAUGUCCUCCGUCCUCCCACCACACCGACACAACGCCAAACCAUCCCACAGGACAGGUGCUGCCAUCUUGUGUGUUUGAAGACGGUCUCUAAUAAGGGCAGCUGGUGAGCGGGGAUCACUCUGUCAAUGAAAAUGUUGGCGUGAAAGAUCAGCUCAUUCUCCUUCAUGAGCGAAUCUGUGUGCUGGUUCAAGCUCUGACUGCCUCUGUUCUUCUUCAGUCUUUGUGAAGCGUCAGGUUUGGCGAUUUGGAGGCCGCCCUCUUGGUUUGUUGGCGUGUUUGAGGAGAUGGAGAAGCUGCAGAGGGAAGAAGGAUUAGCAAAUGUUGGACAGACAGUGUGAUAACAUGGAGUUGAUUUUCUACGUUCAUCUGACAAGUGACAGAGAAUUAGUUUCUCAGAUAAUAAAAAAUCGGAGGACUGUGUUUGCCUCGAUCGCCUGAUGGGACGUUCGCAGGGAUGUAAUAUUUGAGACGAAGCUAUCUAAUGUAUGUAAAAAACCUGUUAAAGGUGGGGUAGUCAGGAUCAGAGGAAGUUCCAGUUUUUAGGAGAAAUCUUGAAUGUAAACUCUACCCCUCCCAACCAGUUUCCCCCUCAGCUCCUCCUCUCCCCUCCCUCGCUGCUCCAGCAAGCCCCGCCCACAAACAGACACUCCUGCUUGCUCAUAUCGUUCCAAUUAAAUUCAGAUAUAAUGCAGAUAAAUACUUCAGAUAAUUACAAAUGGGGCCCAGUCAAGGUGAAAGUAAAAAGCAUUGGUGUUUCUCUAGAUGCAAACAGACUACCAGCAAACACAAUGUUUGUAGGACUUCUACAACUAGGAUAAAGUGACAUAGACCAGGACCAGAGGUCAACAGUUUAGCGUCGCUACAACACGCUACAGCAGGUCCCGUUUGACAAGAAACACUUCUGUUACAGACACUUGGCUUACUUUGUUAAAGCAGUUUACCUGUCCAGCAGAAAGGUUACAGGGUCAACAACAUCCCGAAGCGUCCCCCAUUGUUUAUGUUGACCCGGCUUUUUAGCUCUUGUCUGGUCUACCUCCUUUUUAUGCGCCCGUUAUUCCGCCAGAGUCUCCAGUAUUUACUUCGUUUUCUUGUUUGUGUUUGCAGUCGUGGCCAAAGGAGGA
This 35975-nucleotide long non-coding RNA is filed under the name Xyrichtys novacula (pearly razorfish). The record is from RNAcentral. Lineage: Eukaryota; Metazoa; Chordata; Actinopteri; Labriformes; Labridae.